This 1056-nucleotide ribosomal RNA is filed under the name Vibrio harveyi. RNAcentral describes it as "bacterial SSU rRNA". It matches the Rfam family "Bacterial small subunit ribosomal RNA", at positions 130 to 1182 of the family's 1533-position model. The record is from RNAcentral. Lineage: Bacteria; Pseudomonadati; Pseudomonadota; Gammaproteobacteria; Vibrionales; Vibrionaceae.
CCUGAAGUGGGGGAUAACCAUUGGAAACGAUGGCUAAUACCGCAUAACACCUUCGGGUCAAAGAGGGGGACCUUCGGGCCUCUCGCGUCAGGAUAUGCCUAGGUGGGAUUAGCUAGUUGGUGAGGUAAUGGCUCACCAAGGCGACGAUCCCUAGCUGGUCUGAGAGGAUGAUCAGCCACACUGGAACUGAGACACGGUCCAGACUCCUACGGGAGGCAGCAGUGGGGAAUAUUGCACAAUGGGCGCAAGCCUGAUGCAGCCAUGCCGCGUGUGUGAAGAAGGCCUUCGGGUUGUAAAGCACUUUCAGUCGUGAGGAAGGUAGUGUAGUUAAUAGCUGCAUUAUUUGACGUUAGCGACAGAAGAAGCACCGGCUAACUCCGUGCCAGCAGCCGCGGUAAUACGGAGGGUGCGAGCGUUAAUCGGAAUUACUGGGCGUAAAGCGCAUGCAGGUGGUUUGUUAAGUCAGAUGUGAAAGCCCGGGGCUCAACCUCGGAAUAGCAUUUGAAACUGGCAGACUAGAGUACUGUAGAGGGGGGUAGAAUUUCAGGUGUAGCGGUGAAAUGCGUAGAGAUCUGAAGGAAUACCGGUGGCGAAGGCGGCCCCCUGGACAGAUACUGACACUCAGAUGCGAAAGCGUGGGGAGCAAACAGGAUUAGAUACCCUGGUAGUCCACGCCGUAAACGAUGUCUACUUGGAGGUUGUGGCCUUGAGCCGUGGCUUUCGGAGCUAACGCGUUAAGUAGACCGCCUGGGGAGUACGGUCGCAAGAUUAAAACUCAAAUGAAUUGACGGGGGCCCGCACAAGCGGUGGAGCAUGUGGUUUAAUUCGAUGCAACGCGAAGAACCUUACCUACUCUUGACAUCCAGAGAACAUUCCAGAGAUGGAUUGGUGCCUUCGGGAACUCUGAGACAGGUGCUGCAUGGCUGUCGUCAGCUCGUGUUGUGAAAUGUUGGGUUAAGUCCCGCAACGAGCGCAACCCUUAUCCUUGUUUGCCAGCACUUCGGGUGGGAACUCCAGGGAGACUGCCGGUGAUAAACCGGAGGAAGGUGGGGACGA